This 490-nucleotide ribosomal RNA is filed under the name uncultured bacterium. RNAcentral's name for it is "partial 16S ribosomal RNA". It matches the Rfam family "Bacterial small subunit ribosomal RNA", at positions 30 to 507 of the family's 1533-position model. The record is from RNAcentral.
AUUGAACGCUGGCGGCAGGCCUAACACAUGCAAGUCGAACGGUAACAGGAAGAAGCUUGCUUCUUUGCUGACGAGUGGCGGACGGGUGAGUAAUGUCUGGGAAACUGCCUGAUGGAGGGGGAUAACUACUGGAAACGGUAGCUAAUACCGCAUAACGUCGCAAGACCAAAGAGGGGGACCUUCGGGCCUCUUGCCAUCGGCUGUGCCCAGAUGGGAUUAGCUAGUAGGUGGGGUAACGGCUCACCUAGGCGACGAUCCCUAGCUGGUCUGAGAGGAUGACCAGCCACACUGGAACUGAGACACGGUCCAGACUCCUACGGGAGGCAGCAGUGGGGAAUAUUGCACAAUGGGCGCAAGCCUGAUGCAGCCAUGCCGCGUGUAUGAAGAAGGCCUUCGGGUUGUAAAGUACUUUCAGCGGGGAGGAAGGGAGUAAAGUUAAUACCUUUACUCAUUGACGCUACCCGCAGAAGAAGCACCGGCUAACUCCGUG